UUCAUCGAUGCCAGAACCAAGAGAUCCGUUGUUAAAUUUUGAUUUAUUUAUAGUUUUACUCAGAAGUUCCAUAUAGAAACAGAGUUUAGGGGUCCUCGGCGGGCCGUCCCGUUUUACCGGGAGCGGGCUGAUCCGCCGAGGCAACAAGUGGUAUGUUCACAGGGGUUUGGAGUUGUAAACUCGGUAAUGAUCCCUUCCGUAGGUGAACCUGCGGAGGGAUCAUUACCGAGUUUACAACUCCCAAACCCCUGUGAACAUACCACUUGUUGCCUCGGCGGAUCAGCCCGCUCCCGGUAAAACGGGACGGCCCGCCAGAGGACCCCUAAACUCUGUUUCUAUAUGUAACUUCUGAGUAAAACUAUAAAUAAAUCAAAACUUUCAACAACGGAUCUCUUGGUUCUGGCAUCGAUGAAGAACGCAGCAAAAUGCGAUAAGUAAUGUGAAUUGCAGAAUUCAGUGAAUCAUCGAAUCUUUGAACGCACAUUGCGCCCGCCAGUAUUCUGGCGGGCAUGCCUGUUCGAGCGUCAUUUCAACCCUCAAGCACAGCUUGGUGUUGGGACUCGCGUUAAUUCGCGUUCCCCAAAUUGAUUGGCGGUCACGUCGAGCUUCCAUAGCGUAGUAGUAAAACCCUCGUUACUGGUAAUCGUCGCGGCCACGCCGUUAAACCCCAACUU
RNAcentral lists this ribosomal RNA (674 nucleotides) under Fusarium oxysporum f. sp. lycopersici. RNAcentral's name for it is "eukaryotic LSU rRNA". The stretch from base 374 to 527 matches the Rfam family "5.8S ribosomal RNA". The record is from RNAcentral. Lineage: Eukaryota; Fungi; Ascomycota; Sordariomycetes; Hypocreales; Nectriaceae.